This 57-nucleotide transfer RNA is filed under the name Anaspis sp. ANA02. RNAcentral describes it as "tRNA-Ser". Lineage: Eukaryota; Metazoa; Arthropoda; Insecta; Coleoptera; Scraptiidae. The record is from RNAcentral.
GAAAUAUUUUAUAUUAAGCUUCUAACUUAAUAAAAAGCAAAAUUUGUUUAUAUUUCU